RNAcentral lists this ribosomal RNA (390 nucleotides) under uncultured bacterium. RNAcentral's name for it is "bacterial SSU rRNA". It matches the Rfam family "Bacterial small subunit ribosomal RNA", at positions 28 to 419 of the family's 1533-position model. The record is from RNAcentral.
GACGAACGCUGGCGGCGUGCUUAACACAUGCAAGUCGAGCGGUAAGGCCCUUUCGGGGGUACGACGAGCGGCGAACGGGUGAGUAACACGUGGGUGACCUGCCCUCAGCUCUGGGAUAAGCCUGGGAAACCGGGUCUAAUACCGGAUAUGACUCCAUGACGCAUGUUGUGGGGUGGAAAGCCUUGUGCGGCUGAGGAUGGGCCCGCGGCCUAUCAGCUUGUUGGUGGGGUGAGGCCUACCAAGGCGACGACGGGUAGCCGGCCUGAGAGGGCGACCGGCCACACUGGGACUGAGACACGGCCCAGACUCCUACGGGAGGCAGCAGUGGGGAAUCUUGCGCAAUGGGCGAAAGCCUGACGCAGCGACGCCGCGUGAGGGAUGACGGCCUGG